GAUGAAGAACGUAGCUAAAUGCGAUAAGUAAUGUGAAUUGCAGAAUUCAGUGAAUCAUCGAAUCUUUGAACGCACAUUGCGCCCGCCAGCAUUCUGGCGGGCAUGCCUGUUCGAGCGUCAUUUCAACCCUCGAGCCCCCCCGGGGGCCUCGGUGUUGGGGGACGGCACACCAGCCGCCCCCGAAAUGCAGUGGCGACCCCGCCGCAGCAUCCCCUGCGUAGUAGCACACACCUCGCACCGGAGCGCGGAGGCGGUCACGCCGUAAAACGCCCAACUUUCUUAGAGUUGACCUCGGAUCAGGUAGGAAUACCCGCUGAACUUAAGCAUAUCAAUAAGCGGAGGA
Molecule: unclassified non-coding RNA, 343 nt
Filed under: soil metagenome
Description: partial contains 5.8S ribosomal RNA, internal transcribed spacer 2, and large subunit ribosomal RNA
Rfam family: 5.8S ribosomal RNA (bases 1-120)
Source: RNAcentral